Long non-coding RNA from Artibeus jamaicensis (Jamaican fruit-eating bat), 798 nucleotides. RefSeq lists it as uncharacterized. The transcript has 4 exons. The record is from RefSeq and is a predicted model, not a curated record. Lineage: Eukaryota; Metazoa; Chordata; Mammalia; Chiroptera; Phyllostomidae.
UCCCACUGACAUGUAGUGAAAUACAGUGUGUCUAAACUCUUCAAACUUGAACUUCUGGAAACAUGCUGUUUUACUCCAAUGAUAACAAGGCUGUGAUAGACCAGGUUGCCCCUUCUUUCGCUUGGUAGGUGUUGGCCCUGUGUUGUCCAUUGCAGCUCCCAAUAUAAAUUUGGGCAAGAAAGAUGCACAUUGAACACAGCAAAAUAUGCCUGCAAAAUUUCUUUUGAGAAAUCAGCUGACAGUCUUAUGAGAACUCCCCUGUAGACUCAAAGACUCAAGAUUCAAUGGUCUGAAGGUGGACAUGAUACCAACAGGAACUAACAGCCUGAAGACAGACACAAUGCCGGCAGAAGCUAAGUCUAUGAGAUUAUCACAACUUGGCCCCUAAACUGUCACCCCAAGAAACCAGCAGUAGCCAUGGAAACCUUAGGAACCCUCACUGACUUCAGAAGACAGUGGAGUGGCAACCUCCUUCAGAAUACAGCACCAAGCAGUCAUCUCUUUUGGAGGAAAUAGUAGAGUGAGCUGUAUGAAUUCCUGUCCAGCAGGCAGGAGGGAGAGAGAGAGAGUGAGAAGGAGGAGAGGAAGGAGGAGAACUGAUCCCUGAGCAAUGAGAAAAACCAAGACAUUUAGGUAAGGGAACCCUCAGAAGGACUGGAAAUCCUACAAGUGAAGUGGGUAGACCCCCCAAAGCAUGGCCAUUGGGACUGUGAUGUAGUGGGACAUAAUUUUUCAAUUACUGAGUAUUGAGAUUGAAAUACUUAGUUUACAAAGUUAAGAAUAUGUUCAGCCAGAAAU